RNAcentral lists this transfer RNA (69 nucleotides) under Carrikerella sp. RNAcentral describes it as "tRNA-Leu". It matches the Rfam family "tRNA". Rfam says of the family: Transfer RNA (tRNA) molecules are approximately 80 nucleotides in length. Their secondary structure includes four short double-helical elements and three loops (D, anti-codon, and T loops). Further hydrogen bonds mediate the characteristic L-shaped molecular structure. tRNAs have two regions of fundamental functional importance: the anti-codon, which is responsible for specific mRNA codon recognition, and the 3' end, to which the tRNAs corresponding amino acid is attached (by aminoacyl-tRNA synthetases). tRNAs cope with the degeneracy of the genetic code in two manners: having more than one tRNA (with a specific anti-codon) for a particular amino acid; and 'wobble' base-pairing, i.e. permitting non-standard base-pairing at the 3rd anti-codon position. The record is from RNAcentral. Lineage: Eukaryota; Metazoa; Arthropoda; Insecta; Mantodea; Thespidae.
ACUAUUUUGGCAGAAGUUUAGUGCAAUAGAUUUAGGAUCUAAUAAUAUGAUUAUAUUUCAUAAGUAGUA